This is a long non-coding RNA of Mastomys coucha (southern multimammate mouse), 1152 nucleotides long. RefSeq lists it as uncharacterized. The record is from RefSeq and is a predicted model, not a curated record. The transcript is spliced from 2 exons. Lineage: Eukaryota; Metazoa; Chordata; Mammalia; Rodentia; Muridae.
CCUGAGUGCUGGGGACAAUAGGUCUCUUGGGAGCUAGUGCUGGCUUCUUUUCGAAGUUGCUCCUUGCCACUCUUCUGUAUCAUCCAGGACAGAUCAAUGUCUUCAGCAGCUGCCAGGUGCUUGCUGAUAAUGGAAAGAUCAACACCUUCCACAGUGAGGUUCUUUCAUCAAAGGGAUCCCCAGGAAUCACAAUGAGCAUGUUGACAGCCCAGCUGCACAGCUUCUAACACCUUUCGCCACUAUUCUUUUGGUUCCUUAAGACAGUGCCACAGGUAGAAAUUACCAUUAGCCCAUUUUACAGAGGAGGAAAUAGAGGCUUGUCAAAGGUUGUGGGGAGUGUUUUUAUAUUUAGUGCUCUUCCUAACACAUGGAACCACCCUGGAGAAGCAAGAUGGACACCCUGUGACUGUAUCCACCGUGUAACUGUGUCAAAGGCCGAGAGCUCCCUCCAGAGUCACCCUGUGCCAUUCUGUACAGGCUGGCUCCUAUGUCCAGGCACUGUACUAGGGAGUGCGGGAUAAAAGAGGGCAGCCAUGUUUGGGUACUGCCUUCCAGCUCUGUCUCUAAUACACAGCGCUUGCCUCUCUCGAACGCCACUUUAGACGGACAGCGUGCUCAUCUUGGGACCUGGUUGGAGACUCCAUAACCAGAGACUGAGAACUUCAGCAAGAGAAAGUACUGUGGAAAGGCCAAAGAGAGCCUCCAAGCCUGAUCCACCUAGAAGGCGACAGCCGAGAGUUACGGGGAGUUACAGCGAGUUAAGUACUCGCUGAAGGACAAGAACCUGGCGCAAGCUCUUCCAAGAAUGGUACAGCUAUAGGCCCUGAAAGAACGCUCACAGCAAUGAGGUUUGAUGUUAGUCACUGGGAAAGAGAUGGGCCACAUCUGCUCUCCUUCUCUGUUACUGCGCUCUAUCAGCACGCUGUGGAAGGUGGGGUCUGCCCCCCCCAACCCCCAUGUGUUCUAUAGGAGUGGAAGGCUAGGGGAAAGAGGAAAGACCGGAAGAUAAAGGACCAGAAUGUUAACACUGGCUUCAUUGAGGGGACUUGGCUUUCUAAUUUUGGCUUUGUUUUUGUGUAUUUCCUAAACUGGCUUUAACAUCAUGUUCCAUCAAGAGGAGAAAAAAAAAUUAAAGAAUAAGGAAAAUCUGAA